RNAcentral lists this ribosomal RNA (253 nucleotides) under uncultured bacterium. Its description in RNAcentral is "partial 16S ribosomal RNA". It matches the Rfam family "Bacterial small subunit ribosomal RNA", at positions 524 to 776 of the family's 1533-position model. The record is from RNAcentral.
CACGUAAGGGGCAAGCGUUGUUCGGAAUUACUGGGCGUAAAGGGCUCGUAGGCGGCCAACUAAGUCAUACGUGAAAUCCCUCGGCUUAACCGGGGAACUGCGUAUGAUACUGGAUGGCUUGAGUCCGGGAGAGGGAUGCGGAAUUCCAGGUGUAGCGGUGAAAUGCGUAGAUAUCUGGAGGAACACCGGUGGCGAAGGCGGCAUCCUGGACCGAUACUGACGCUGAGGAGCGAAAGCGUGGGGAGCAAACAGG